GGACUACUGGGGUAUCUAAUCCUGUUUGCUCCCCACGCUUUCGUGCAUGAGCGUCAGUGUUAUCCCAGGGGGCUGCCUUCGCCAUCGGUAUUCCUCCACAUCUCUACGCAUUUCACUGCUACACGUGGAAUUCUACCCCCCUCUGACACACUCUAGCCUCGCAGUCUCAACUGCCAUUCCCAGGUUAAGCCCGGGGAUUUCACAGCUGACUUACGAAACCGCCUGCGCACGCUUUACGCCCAGUAAUUCCGAUUAACGCUUGCACCCUACGUAUUACCGCGGCUGCUGGCAC
This 292-nucleotide ribosomal RNA is filed under the name uncultured bacterium. RNAcentral describes it as "partial 16S ribosomal RNA". The record is from RNAcentral.